Molecule: ribosomal RNA, 1483 nt
Filed under: Limosilactobacillus fermentum
Lineage: Bacteria; Bacillati; Bacillota; Bacilli; Lactobacillales; Lactobacillaceae
Description: bacterial SSU rRNA
Rfam family: Bacterial small subunit ribosomal RNA
Source: RNAcentral
CCCCCGGCCGGGGUGCCUAUACAUGCAGUCGAACGCGUUGGCCCAAUUGAUUGACGGUGCUUGCACCUGAUUGAUUUUGGUCGCCAACGAGUGGCGGACGGGUGAGUAACACGUAGGUAACCUGCCCAGAAGCGGGGGACAACAUUUGGAAACAGAUGCUAAUACCGCAUAACAGCGUUGUUCGCAUGAACAACGCUUAAAAGAUGGCUUCUCGCUAUCACUUCUGGAUGGACCUGCGGUGCAUUAGCUUGUUGGUGGGGUAAUGGCCUACCAAGGCGAUGAUGCAUAGCCGAGUUGAGAGACUGAUCGGCCACAAUGGGACUGAGACACGGCCCAUACUCCUACGGGAGGCAGCAGUAGGGAAUCUUCCACAAUGGGCGCAAGCCUGAUGGAGCAACACCGCGUGAGUGAAGAAGGGUUUCGGCUCGUAAAGCUCUGUUGUUAAAGAAGAACACGUAUGAGAGUAACUGUUCAUACGUUGACGGUAUUUAACCAGAAAGUCACGGCUAACUACGUGCCAGCAGCCGCGGUAAUACGUAGGUGGCAAGCGUUAUCCGGAUUUAUUGGGCGUAAAGAGAGUGCAGGCGGUUUUCUAAGUCUGAUGUGAAAGCCUUCGGCUUAACCGGAGAAGUGCAUCGGAAACUGGAUAACUUGAGUGCAGAAGAGGGUAGUGGAACUCCAUGUGUAGCGGUGGAAUGCGUAGAUAUAUGGAAGAACACCAGUGGCGAAGGCGGCUACCUGGUCUGCAACUGACGCUGAGACUCGAAAGCAUGGGUAGCGAACAGGAUUAGAUACCCUGGUAGUCCAUGCCGUAAACGAUGAGUGCUAGGUGUUGGAGGGUUUCCGCCCUUCAGUGCCGGAGCUAACGCAUUAAGCACUCCGCCUGGGGAGUACGACCGCAAGGUUGAAACUCAAAGGAAUUGACGGGGGCCCGCACAAGCGGUGGAGCAUGUGGUUUAAUUCGAAGCUACGCGAAGAACCUUACCAGGUCUUGACAUCUUGCGCCAACCCUAGAGAUAGGGCGUUUCCUUCGGGAACGCAAUGACAGGUGGUGCAUGGUCGUCGUCAGCUCGUGUCGUGAGAUGUUGGGUUAAGUCCCGCAACGAGCGCAACCCUUGUUACUAGUUGCCAGCAUUAAGUUGGGCACUCUAGUGAGACUGCCGGUGACAAACCGGAGGAAGGUGGGGACGACGUCAGAUCAUCAUGCCCCUUAUGACCUGGGCUACACACGUGCUACAAUGGACGGUACAACGAGUCGCGAACUCGCGAGGGCAAGCAAAUCUCUUAAAACCGUUCUCAGUUCGGACUGCAGGCUGCAACUCGCCUGCACGAAGUCGGAAUCGCUAGUAAUCGCGGAUCAGCAUGCCGCGGUGAAUACGUUCCCGGGCCUUGUACACACCGCCCGUCACACCAUGAGAGUUUGUAACACCCAAAGUCGGUGGGGUAACCUUUUAGGAGCCAGCCGCCUAAGUGACAAGGUUGG